Molecule: small RNA, 843 nt
Filed under: Pongo abelii (Sumatran orangutan)
Lineage: Eukaryota; Metazoa; Chordata; Mammalia; Primates; Hominidae
Description: processed transcript
Source: RNAcentral
GGCUUGCGCGGACCGGGGAAGCAUGUCUGGCUUCGCAGGAAAGCAGGAGGAGGCAGCCGAGGGCGGGGGGAAAUUGAGUCCUCUUUGGGCUACUCAACUCUGCUAAAAUCCCCCACCGUCCGUCACGGUGGACGAGUAGGGGUUUUUUUCUCUUUCACUUUUACUCCAAGAAGAGUUUGUGGGCAGGCAGGGAGGUCUCACGGGGACUCUGCCAAAGCAACCGAAAGCUCUGCGGGGCAGCCCCUCUGCCACUCAGCGAUCCGAGGCCCCGGGAAGGUCUAGAAGUGCGCUUGUCGGAGUCCAGGGAAAUAGACAGACGGUUGGAAAAAAAACUGAAGAUCACACAAAAAGAGAGGAAAUCCAAAUCUCCUCCCAAAGUGCCCAUUGUGAUUCAGGACGAUAGCCUUCCCGCGGGGCCCCCUCCACAGAUCCGCAUCCUCAAGAGGCCCACCAGCAACGGUGUGGUCAGCAGCCCCAACUCCACCAGCAGGCCCACCCUUCCAGUCAAGUCCCUAGCACAGCGAGAGGCCGAGUACGCUGAGGCCCGGAAGCGGAUCCUGGGCAGCGCCAGCCCCGAGGAGGAGCAGGAGAAACCCAUCCUCGACAGGCCAACCAGGAUCUCCCAACCCGAAGACAGCAGGCAGCCCAAUAAUGUGAUCAGACAGCCUUUGGGUCCUGAUGGGUCACAAGGCUUCAAACAGCGCAGAUAAAUGCAGGCAAGAAAAGAUGCCGCCGUUGCUGCCGUCACCGCCUCCUGGGUCGUCUGCCACGGGUUGCACUGCCGUGGCAGACAGCUGGACUUGAGCAGAGGGAACGACCUGACUUACUUGCACUGUGAUCCCC